CUCUUGUGAAUUGUGGCUUAACAAAGGCAACAGAUAGCUUGACGCUGUAUAAUCAAUAAAUAAAACUAUUUGAAAACAGAACUCUACACCAAUAUUCCCUUAGCACAGAACUGUCAACUUCCCUGACGAAGCUUUAUGAUCUAUUUAUAAGCUAGUGGUACUUAUCUUUUUUUCAAAGCCAAUUGCCAUUUUCAGUAUACAAUGUAAAAAUGUAAUUGUCUACCCUGACG
Molecule: long non-coding RNA, 230 nt
Filed under: Mytilus galloprovincialis (Mediterranean mussel)
Lineage: Eukaryota; Metazoa; Mollusca; Bivalvia; Mytilida; Mytilidae
Source: RNAcentral